UGCGGGUUGGAGCAGUGGUCAGCUCGCCAGGCUCAUAACCUGGAGGUCGCAGGUUCGAUCCCUGCACCCGCAA
This 73-nucleotide transfer RNA is filed under the name Isosphaeraceae bacterium. RNAcentral describes it as "tRNA-Met". It matches the Rfam family "tRNA". Rfam says of the family: Transfer RNA (tRNA) molecules are approximately 80 nucleotides in length. Their secondary structure includes four short double-helical elements and three loops (D, anti-codon, and T loops). Lineage: Bacteria; Pseudomonadati; Planctomycetota; Planctomycetia; Isosphaerales; Isosphaeraceae. The record is from RNAcentral.